This 491-nucleotide ribosomal RNA is filed under the name Dendropsophus elegans (elegant forest treefrog). RNAcentral's name for it is "partial small subunit ribosomal RNA". It matches the Rfam family "Bacterial small subunit ribosomal RNA", at positions 794 to 1525 of the family's 1533-position model. Lineage: Eukaryota; Metazoa; Chordata; Amphibia; Anura; Hylidae. The record is from RNAcentral.
GCCUAGCCGUAAACUUUAAUUUACACCUCGCCCGCCAGGGAACUACGAGCAAAGCUUAAAACCCAAAGGACUUGACGGUACCCCACAUCCACCUAGAGGAGCCUGUCCUAUAAUCGAUAACCCCCGCUUCACCUCACCAUUUUUAGCUUCUCAGUCUGUAUACCUCCGUCGUCAGCUUACCUCGUGAGCGCUAGCUAGUGAGCCCAACGCCUUUACGCCAACACGUCAGGUCAAGGUGCAGCAUAUGAAAUGGAAAGAGAUGGGCUACACUGUCUAAUCUAGACAACACGAAAGACUAUUUAUGAAACCUAGUCAGAAGGCGGAUUUAGAAGUAAAAAAAGACCAUUGUGCUUUCUUUAACUUGGCACUGGGGUGUGUACACACCGCCCGUCACCCUCUUCAAAGCUCUAAUAUAGUUUUUAACACAAUAUACUAAACUAGAAGAGGUAAGUCGUAACAAGGUAAGUAUACCGGAAGGUGUGCUUGGAAAA